RNAcentral lists this ribosomal RNA (253 nucleotides) under uncultured bacterium. RNAcentral describes it as "partial 16S ribosomal RNA". It matches the Rfam family "Bacterial small subunit ribosomal RNA", at positions 524 to 776 of the family's 1533-position model. The record is from RNAcentral.
UACAGAGGGUGCGAGCGUUGUUCGGAAUUAUUGGGCGUAAAGGGCGCGUAGGCGGUGCGGUAAGUCACCUGUGAAAUCUCCUGGCUCAACUGGGAGCUUGCAGGCGAAACUGCCGUGCUGGAGUGUGGGAGAGGUGCGUGGAAUUCCUGGUGUAGCGGUGAAAUGCGUAGAUAUCGAGAGGAACACCUGCGGCGAAGGCGGGUUGCUGGGCUGACACUGACGCUGAUGUGCGAAAGCUAGGGGAGCGAACGGG